This 425-nucleotide ribosomal RNA is filed under the name uncultured bacterium. RNAcentral describes it as "partial 16S ribosomal RNA". The stretch from base 138 to 425 matches the Rfam family "Bacterial small subunit ribosomal RNA", at positions 1 to 291 of the family's 1533-position model. The record is from RNAcentral.
GUAUGCACAGGUGACUUGUGUGGGCGCCCUGCGGAUGACUUGAAGAGCAUCCGGAGCGCGUCCUGGAUUCAAGUAAUUCAGCGAACGCGAGCCUGGAAGCUUCACGAAGAAUCGGUGGCGCGAGCCAUCAGCAGAUCCAAGUGAAGAGUUUGAUCCUGGCUCAGAUUGAACGCUGGCGGCAUGCCUAACACAUGCAAGUCGAGCGGCAGCGCGGGGGCGACCCUGGCGGCGAGCGGCGGACGGGUGAGUAAGGCAUCGGAAUCUGCCCUGAUGUGGGGGAUAACGUAGGGAAACUUACGCUAAUACCGCAUACGACCGAGAGGUGAAAGCGGGGGACCGAAAGGCCUCGCGCAGCAGGAUGAGCCGAUGUCCGAUUAGCUGGUUGGUGGGGUAACGGCCUACCAAGGCGACGAUCGGUAGCUGGU